Molecule: transfer RNA, 83 nt
Filed under: Pseudomonas sp. 37 R 15
Lineage: Bacteria; Pseudomonadati; Pseudomonadota; Gammaproteobacteria; Pseudomonadales; Pseudomonadaceae
Description: tRNA-Pro
Source: RNAcentral
ACGGGCGUAGCGGGCCGAUUGCCGGUAGCGCUGGUCGCUGUCGAUGAAGUCGAUAUAGGACGGUGCCAACCCGUCUGCUUGUC